This 520-nucleotide unclassified non-coding RNA is filed under the name uncultured Glomus. RNAcentral's name for it is "SSU rRNA". It matches the Rfam family "Eukaryotic small subunit ribosomal RNA", at positions 569 to 1090 of the family's 1831-position model. The record is from RNAcentral. Lineage: Eukaryota; Fungi; Glomeromycota; Glomeromycetes; Glomerales; Glomeraceae.
AGCAGCCGCGGUAAUUCCAGCUCCAAUAGCGUAUAUUAAAGUUGUUGCAGUUAAGAAGCUCGUAGUUGAAUUUCGGGAUCAAAGAAUCGGUCAUGCCUUGGUAUGUACUGGUUUUAUUGGUUCUCACCUUCUAAAGAACCAUGAUGUCAUUCAUUUGAUGUUAUGGGGAAUUAGGACUGUUACCUUGAAAAAAUUAGAGUGUUUAAAGUAAGCUCACGCUUGAAUACAUUAGCAUGGAAUAAUGAAAUAGGACGUUUGAUUCUAUUUUGUUGGUUUCUAGGAUCGACGUAAUGAUUAAUAGGGAUAGUUGGGGGCAUUAGUAUUCAAUUGUCAGAGGUGAAAUUCUUGGAUUUAUUGAAGACUAACUACUGCGAAAGCAUUUGCCAAGGAUGUUUUCAUUAAUCAAGAACGAAAGUUAGGGGAUCGAAGACGAUCAGAUACCGUCGUAGUCUUAACCAUAAACUAUGCCGACUAGGGAUCGGAUGAUGUUAAUUUUUUAAUGACUCAUUCUGGCGCCUUA